CCACCAGACUCCUACGGGAGGCAGCAGUGGGGAAUAUUGCACAAUGGGGGAAACCCUGAUGCAGCGACGCCGCGUGAGCGAUGAAGUCUUUCGGUAUGUAAAGCUCUAUCAGCAGGGAAGAAGAUGACGGUACCUGACUAAGAAGCCCCGGCUAACUACGUGCCAGCAGCCGCGGUAAUACGUAGGGGGCAAGCGUUAUCCGGAUUUACUGGGUGUAAAGGGAGCGUAGACGGCGGUGCAAGCCAGAUGUGAAAGCCCGGGGCUCAACCCCGGGACUGCAUUUGGAACUGUAUGGCUGGAGUGUCGGAGAGGCAGGCGGAAUUCCUAGUGUAGCGGUGAAAUGCGUAGAUAUUAGGAGGAACACCAGUGGCGAAGGCGGCCUGCUGGACGAUGACUGACGUUGAGGCUCGAAAGCGUGGGGAGCAAACAGGAUUAGAUACCCCAGUACA
This 449-nucleotide ribosomal RNA is filed under the name uncultured bacterium. RNAcentral describes it as "bacterial SSU rRNA". It matches the Rfam family "Bacterial small subunit ribosomal RNA", at positions 328 to 797 of the family's 1533-position model. The record is from RNAcentral.